This 93-nucleotide transfer RNA is filed under the name Lentinula edodes (shiitake mushroom). RNAcentral's name for it is "tRNA-Arg". It matches the Rfam family "tRNA". Rfam says of the family: Transfer RNA (tRNA) molecules are approximately 80 nucleotides in length. Their secondary structure includes four short double-helical elements and three loops (D, anti-codon, and T loops). Further hydrogen bonds mediate the characteristic L-shaped molecular structure. tRNAs have two regions of fundamental functional importance: the anti-codon, which is responsible for specific mRNA codon recognition, and the 3' end, to which the tRNAs corresponding amino acid is attached (by aminoacyl-tRNA synthetases). tRNAs cope with the degeneracy of the genetic code in two manners: having more than one tRNA (with a specific anti-codon) for a particular amino acid; and 'wobble' base-pairing, i.e. permitting non-standard base-pairing at the 3rd anti-codon position. The record is from RNAcentral. Lineage: Eukaryota; Fungi; Basidiomycota; Agaricomycetes; Agaricales; Omphalotaceae.
GCCCCCGUUGUCUAAUGGUUAUGACGUCAGACUUCUACGUUUCAAUGAGCUACGACAAUCUGGAGGUUGCGGGUUCGAGUCCCGCCGGGGGUU